RNAcentral lists this ribosomal RNA (216 nucleotides) under Glomeromycotina sp. RNAcentral's name for it is "partial small subunit ribosomal RNA". The stretch from base 40 to 216 matches the Rfam family "Eukaryotic small subunit ribosomal RNA", at positions 686 to 864 of the family's 1831-position model. Lineage: Eukaryota; Fungi; Glomeromycota. The record is from RNAcentral.
GGGUCAGUAGGUUGGUCGUGCCACCGGUACGUACUGGUCUCACUGAUUCCUCCUUCCUGAAGAACCGUAAUGCCAUUAAUUUGGUGUUGCGGGGAAACAGGACUGUUACUUUGAAAAAAUUAGAGUGUUUAAAGCAAGCUAACGCUUGAAUACAUUAGCAUAGAAUAAUGAAAUAGGACGAUCGAUCCCAUUUUGUUGGUUUCUAGGAUUGACGUA